GCUGGGCGUAAUGGCCCAUGCCUGUAGUCCCAGCUACUUGGGAGGCUGAGGUGGGAGGAUCACUUGAGCCCAGGAGUUUGAGGCUGCAGUGGGCUAUGAUCAUGCCACUGCAUUCCAGCCUGGGUGACAGAGUGAGACCCUGACUCUU
Pongo abelii (Sumatran orangutan) is the source of this 148-nucleotide unclassified non-coding RNA. It matches the Rfam family "Metazoan signal recognition particle RNA". Rfam says of the family: The signal recognition particle (SRP) is a universally conserved ribonucleoprotein. The record is from Ensembl. NCBI's taxonomy places the organism in Eukaryota, Metazoa, Chordata, Mammalia, Primates, Hominidae.